ACUCGCUACUCUCUACAGUGUAAUAAUAACAAUAACAAUAACAAAAACAAAACAACUGGAAUAUCGCGUGGAAGGGAAGAGAGCCUGGGAGCGUGCAACAGGUCGGGUCCGCGUCUGUGCCGAGAUAAGCGGAGUGCAGUCAAGUGGACCAGGAACGCUGCGAGAGAGCCGGAGAGAGCAAGAGCCAAUGCGAAGCACGUCUGGCGCGCGUGAAGUGCGGACCGCGUAUGGCGCGCAACUUCGGCACUGGAUUCGACUGGAAGUGGAAGCUUCGUGGCUCCCCAACACACUCGCACAUCUGGGCUUUGUGUGUCCGUGCACACAGGAGCGGUCAAGAUACUAGAGCCCGCCCUAGUGUGUAAUCCCAACAGUUUAGGGAUGACUUGAAUGACCGCGGAGAUGAUGCGAUUUAAGAUGAAACAACCGCCGACUACAUAACACUCUACUGAUACCCAAACAAAACUAGCUAAUUUCUUGACAGGAUCAAGAACCAAAUCUGAGAUACCCGACCCAGAGCGCUGGAAACUAUAGCUCUGACCGCAGCUGUCAGCCUUUCCGACUAUUCGCGUGUGUGUUCCACUAACGAAAACGUUGCGACCUUGCCGUCGCCGCAUUUUACAUCGAAGCAAUCCCCCCUCCACUCCCUGUGGCCAGAACCAAGAAGUCGUAGAGGGUAACACAUAGUUGGCCUUCUUCGCGCCUCGGACCAAUGCACUUGGCGACCAACAUACCUGUUGGGUGAGCCCAUUGUGGCACAGUCAGUGCCGGCAGAAUUGCAUCACCGCCAGCGGAACUAGAAGAGGAAAAACCAGCAAGUGGAAUAACCACCACGAUAAGCAGGACACACAGAGGGCCCCACGGACAGAGCCAGCCAAGCAUUCCAGUGGAGGACCAAGCCUGCGAUUGCCCAAUUGCCAAGUGAUUCGUCUUCGAUGUCGCGGGGCAGUUAAACCACUGCUAGCUGCUGGACUAGAACUAGAUAAUUGCCUUCACGAUGGCACGUUGCAGAUAAGUAAAUCGCCUUAAGGCGGCACGUACAAGUACACAAGUGUACGUCCCGCGCU
Molecule: small RNA, 1064 nt
Filed under: Drosophila yakuba
Lineage: Eukaryota; Metazoa; Arthropoda; Insecta; Diptera; Drosophilidae
Description: GE28961
Source: RNAcentral